UGGCCUCUCAGAUGAAAUUUCUUCCUGA
This 28-nucleotide small RNA is filed under the name Bombyx mori (domestic silkworm). RNAcentral's name for it is "ovarian small RNA-34845". Lineage: Eukaryota; Metazoa; Arthropoda; Insecta; Lepidoptera; Bombycidae. The record is from RNAcentral.